RNAcentral lists this long non-coding RNA (1056 nucleotides) under Astyanax mexicanus (Mexican tetra). RNAcentral describes it as "lncRNA (ENSAMXG00005002174.1)". Lineage: Eukaryota; Metazoa; Chordata; Actinopteri; Characiformes; Acestrorhamphidae. The record is from RNAcentral.
GGGGUUAUGACAUUAACUAGCGAGUUGAAGGUGCUGCAGACACACCAGAGCUAAACGCUGUUCUCAGCAGCUCGGAUUAACAGGGAUUAUCUCGCCUGGGUUUCUGAGUGACCGCACGUGCGAGGAGGUGUGGAGAGUGAGGCAGGAGUAAGAGGAGAAAAAGCGGUGGAGGAAUGGAAGGAUGGCGUUUAGAGAAGUGGACAUGGAUACUGGAUCUGUGUAGGAGAACUGAUUAUCUGCUGAGGUCUGUGAAAACGUCAAAAAAGUGCGGGCUGGAGAGCUGAAGGAAAGAUCCGGAAGUUUCUCUGCUGUCAGUAAUUUACUGUUUAUGUACAGAUGAUCCAGAUGCUACUGUGGCUUUCUUGUGGAACUUUCACCAUGUUGAGUGGUCUGACCAAAACUCCUGAGGUAAAAAUAUGGUCACAAACGUUUUAAACAGACUUUAAUGUGUUUUAAUGGACUUUUAUGAAGUUUCAGGGUCAAAACUGUGUCUUUAACAUGGUUGAGUUACUGGAAAAGAAGGAAGUUUGAGCUUUUGGACAUUUUUAAGUUUUUUUGAAACGGACUUUUAACCAAAAAAAAAUUAAUUCUACCAGUCCAUUCUACCACCUACCAAACUGCAAUGCGUUUCAGGACUGGCAUACCUCUUUUGGAAUGAAAAUGUGUGAUAUUGCUGGAGUGGAUAAAACAACUUUUCAAUGGACUUUCAUUGGUAAUACCUCCAUGAUGCAUCAGUGGCUAAAAAUGAAAAAUAAAUUAAAGGAAUCAAGCAAACUGUCAGACUCAUCCAGCCUCUUUGUGUACAGGUUGGUUCAAAAUGUAUAUUUUGCUUUUUUGUGUAAAAUACUAUCUAUCAAGAAUUUUACAGAUUUUUUUAUACAUCUGGUGGCUUUUUUUUACAGGUCUGGUGGCUGAAAACGGAAUGAAAUUUAAGUUCAAGAAUGUUUUACUGUCCUUCUGUCAAAAAUCAGCUGGAACUGUUUUACACAUGAGGAGAUCCACGUAUUGGUGGGCGGUGUAAAGAAAGCGCUUUCAAAAAGAGGAAAGAAAAAAACU